UCGGAAUCUGGGAGGACCAUCUCCUAAGGCUAAAUACUCUCUAGUGACCGAUAGUGAACCAGUACCGUGAGGGAAAGGUGAAAAGCACCCCGGAAGGGGAGUGAAAUAGAACCUGAAACCGUGUGCUUACAAGUAGUCAGAGCCCGUUAAUGGGUGAUGGCGUGCCUUUUGUAGAAUGAACCGGCGAGUUACGAUUUGAUGCAAGGUUAAGCAGUAAAUGUGGAGCCGUAGCGAAAGCGAGUCUGAAUAGGGCGUUUAGUAUUUGGUCGUAGACCCGAAACCAGGUGAUCUACCCUUGGUCAGGUUGAAGUUCAGGUAACACUGAAUGGAGGACCGAACCGACUUACGUUGAAAAGUGAGCGGAUGAACUGAGGGUAGCGGAGAAAUUCCAAUCGAACCUGGAGAUAGCUGGUUCUCUCCGAAAUAGCUUUAGGGCUAGCCUCAAGUGAUGAUUAUUGGAGGUAGAGCACUGUUUGGACGAGGGGCCCCUCUCGGGUUACCGAAUUCAGACAAACUCCGAAUGCCAAUUAAUUUAACUUGGGAGUCAGAACAUGGGUGAUAAGGUCCGUGUUCGAAAGGGAAACAGCCCAGACCACCAGCUAAGGUCCCAAAAUAUAUGUUAAGUGGAAAAGGAUGUGGCGUUGCCCAGACAACUAGGAUGUUGGCUUAGAAGCAGCCAUCAUUUAAAGAGUGCGUAAUAGCUCACUAGUCGAGUGACACUGCGCCGAAAAUGUACCGGGGCUAAACAUAUUACCGAAGCUGUGGAUUGUCCUUUGGACAAUGGUAGGAGAGCGUUCUAAGGGCGUUGAAGCAUGAUCGUAAGGACAUGUGGAGCGCUUAGAAGUGAGAAUGCCGGUGUGAGUAGCGAAAGACGGGUGAGAAUCCCGUCCACCGAUUGACUAAGGUUUCCAGAGGAAGGCUCGUCCGCUCUGGGUUAGUCGGGUCCUAAGCUGAGGCCGACAGGCGUAGGCGAUGGAUAACAGGUUGAUAUUCCUGUACCACCUAUAAUCGUUUUA
RNAcentral lists this ribosomal RNA (1016 nucleotides) under Staphylococcus aureus. RNAcentral's name for it is "partial 23S ribosomal RNA". It matches the Rfam family "Bacterial large subunit ribosomal RNA", at positions 437 to 1461 of the family's 2925-position model. The record is from RNAcentral. Lineage: Bacteria; Bacillati; Bacillota; Bacilli; Caryophanales; Staphylococcaceae.